UACGUAGGGUGCGAGCGUUGUCCGGAAUUAUUGGGCGUAAAGGGCUCGUAGGCGGUUUGUCACGUCGGGAGUGAAAUCUCAGGGCUUAACCCUGAGCCUGCUUCCGAUACGGGCAGACUAGAGGUAUGCAGGGGAGAACGGAAUUCCUGGUGUAGCGGUGAAAUGCGCAGAUAUCAGGAGGAACACCGGUGGCGAAGGCGGUUCUCUGGGCAUUACCUGACGCUGAGGAGCGAAAGUGUGGGGAGCGAACAGGAUUAGAUACCCUGGUAGUCCACACCGUAAACGGUGGGCGCUAGGUGUGGGACUCAUUCCACGAGUUCCGUGCCGCAGCUAACGCAUUAAGCGCCCCGCCUGGGGAGUACGGCCGCAAGGCUAAA
RNAcentral lists this ribosomal RNA (377 nucleotides) under uncultured bacterium. RNAcentral describes it as "bacterial SSU rRNA". It matches the Rfam family "Bacterial small subunit ribosomal RNA", at positions 524 to 898 of the family's 1533-position model. The record is from RNAcentral.